AGUGAACGCUGGCGGUAGGCCUAACACAUGCAAGUCGAACGGCAGCACAGUAAGAGCUUGCUCUUACGGGUGGCGAGUGUCGGACGGGUGAGGAAUACAUCGGAAUCUACUUUUUCGUGGGGGAUAACGUAGGGAAACUUACUCUAAUACAGCAUACGUCCUACGGGGGAAAGCAGGCGAUCUUCUGACCUGGUGCUAGUGUAUGAGCCUAUGUCGGAUUAGCUAGUUGGCGGGGUAAAGGCCCACCAAGGCGACGCUGCGUAGCUGAUCUGGGAGGAGGAUCAGCCAAACUGGAACUGGGACACGGUCCAGACUCCUACGGGAGGCAGCAGUGGGGAAUAUUGGACAAUGGGAGCAAGCCUGAUCAAGGCAUACCGCGUGAGUGAAGAAGGCAGUAGGGUUGUAAAGCCCUUUUGUUGGGAAAGAAAAGAAGCCGGUUUAUCCCGCGCUGUUCUGACGGUACCCAAAGGAUAAGGCCCCGCUAACUUCGUG
RNAcentral lists this ribosomal RNA (492 nucleotides) under uncultured bacterium. RNAcentral's name for it is "partial 16S ribosomal RNA". It matches the Rfam family "Bacterial small subunit ribosomal RNA", at positions 29 to 507 of the family's 1533-position model. The record is from RNAcentral.